CACGUAGGCUCCAAGCGUUGUCCGGAUUUAUUGGGCGUAAAGAGCUCGUAGGCGGUUCAGCAAGUCGGGUGUGAAAACUCUGGGCUCAACCCAGAGCCUGCACCCGAAACUGCUGUGACUAGAGUUCGGUAGGGGAGUGGGGAAUUCCUAGUGUAGCGGUGAAAUGCGCAGAUAUUAGGAGGAACACCGAUGGCGAAGGCACCACUCUGGGCCGAAACUGACGCUGAGGAGCGAAAGCGUGGGUAGCAAACAGG
Molecule: ribosomal RNA, 254 nt
Filed under: uncultured bacterium
Lineage: Bacteria
Description: partial 16S ribosomal RNA
Rfam family: Bacterial small subunit ribosomal RNA
Source: RNAcentral